Molecule: ribosomal RNA, 341 nt
Filed under: uncultured bacterium
Lineage: Bacteria
Description: bacterial SSU rRNA
Rfam family: Bacterial small subunit ribosomal RNA
Source: RNAcentral
GCUCAGGAUGAACGCUGGCGGCGUGCCUAAUACAUGCAAGUCGAACGCUUGCUUGAGGACUUGUCUUCAAGCAGGAGUGGCGAACGGGUGAGUAAUACAUAAGCAAUCUGCCCAUCGGCCUGGGAUAACAGUUGGAAACGACUGCUGAUACCGGAUAGGUGAUGAAGAGGCAUCUCUCGAUCAUUAAAGUUGGGAUACAACACGGAUGGAUGAGCUUAUGGCGUAUUAGCUAGUAGGUGAGGUAACGGCUCACCUAGGCGAUGAUACGUAGCCGACCUGAGAGGGUGACCGGCCACAUUGGGACUGAGACACGGCCCAAACUCCUACGGGAGGCAGCAGUA